Magnolia sinica is the source of this 455-nucleotide long non-coding RNA. RefSeq lists it as uncharacterized. The transcript is spliced from 4 exons. The record is from RefSeq and is a predicted model, not a curated record. NCBI's taxonomy places the organism in Eukaryota, Viridiplantae, Streptophyta, Magnoliopsida, Magnoliales, Magnoliaceae.
UAAGAAGGAGAAUAAGAAGGAGAAGGAGAAGAAGAUCUCUGUAUAGACAGACUUCAAGAUGUUCCCAUGUGAAAAUGCAUGCUCUUUGGCCCUAAGAUCGAGAGAUUCUCCAUAGAAAAAGGUUCAGAUUUGAAAAGGAGCGGUUUCAAUGACUUGUUUGAAUAAUUGUUCUCGUUUUUCCUGGAAAAUCAAUAUAUAGAACAGAGAAAUCUCAGUGUCGUGAAAUCAACGCUGCUCUACAGUCCAAUCCAGAGAUUUUCUGAAGAAAUAAUCCAAUUUCGUUGAUUUUUUCUCAGGAUACCUCGCUUUGGAGCGUUUUUAUUGUGAGCUGUGAACAGAUUUCAGUUUUCUGGAGAAUUUGAAGGGUUUCUUGGAAGGUGGAUGUUGCAUGUGGGAGGAUUGAAGCUACAUAUUUCAGAUUCAAGCAUAUGUUGUUAUCAUACAUACAGAUCAAU